GGGCUUCCUUCAGCAACACAUAUACUAAAAUUGGAACGUUACAGAGAAGACUAGCAUGGCCCCCACAUGAGGAUAAUAUGCAAAUUUGUGAAGCACUCCAUAUUUUU
Lepus europaeus (European hare) is the source of this 107-nucleotide small nuclear RNA. The record is from RefSeq and is a predicted model, not a curated record. Lineage: Eukaryota; Metazoa; Chordata; Mammalia; Lagomorpha; Leporidae.